CAGUGUGGGAAGCUGCUUGAUUUCAAGCUGCGGCAUACCGUCCGGCUAUUAAAGUUCCGUGCUCAAGCCAAAGAAUGGGCACAAACAACAAAAAAAUCAAGGAACCAAACAAAGGUGUUGGACAAUUCAUUUAUCAUGAUGGAAAAACUUAAGGCCCUUGGCUACUUCCCUCUCCUGCUAUGGGGGAAAUACAGCCGUUCAAAAUGGAGAGCACAAUUCCACAUUCCGUUUGAGAUGCCAGCUGCAGCUCAUGGGGUGUUGGAAAAGGUGUUAAUCCUAUUCGAGCAUAUUUUACAAGGAAGUCACCUGUAAAUGUUUCUGCCAAAAAACAGGGCAAAACUAAGAGGGACAAAAAAGUCAAAGGUAGGAAAAAGACUGUAUAUGCAAUAAAGCCACAUAAAACAUAUUUGUAUUCAUGCAUUAUUAAUUACUGUGUGUGGAGUAUAUGUAUGUUUAUUGUAUAAUUUUUUUGACAGAGUGCCAAUUCCAUGGAUCACUGGACGUUUUCCCAGUGGAAUCUGUGUCGAUGAGUCGCAUAAGAAAGAUUAGUAAAAAAACACAAAUCAAAAGACACCAAUCCCACAUUAAAACUGAAAUACUGUUCAUUACCUUUUUGAUGUUUGGUUAAUUCACAAAGAUACAGUUGAUGCUCAAAAUAUUUUUAUAUGGUAGUGAAAAGCACAAGAACUUGACUGCCUGACAUCAGAUGCCGUAGAUGGAGCUCUGUCUAACCUGUAUUGCAUUCAGUUCUUUAAUGUCUCAAUUAACAUAUUAAGGUGUUGGUACUUUUGUGAAAGAACCAAAUUACUGCCCUGCCAGUGCAUCAGCUGAUCUGUCCUUUAAACACAUUAGGGUUUUGCAUUUCCCUGGUCUUUGUCCUUACAAAUUAUAUUUUGAUAGAUGAAAGUAGUUUGGUGUGAUGGAUGAGGUAGAUGACUGACAAACAAAUACAAAAGAACAUAGCUUCAGGUGUGUGUGCUUAUAAAAAGUCACGCUGACUCUGCUUCAGGUGUGGGGGGGAGGGGGGGGGGGCUUGGCAUGGAUUCCGAGUUGCAUUUCAUACAACCAAACAUAUCUUUUAAUGUUUUAUACCCUAAUGUAUAUACAAUGAUGUUAUGUUUACAGUUGCUUACAAUUACAAAAUGUAAUGUAAUUUAGCCAUUUAUUAUCCAUAAAAUGUAUUGUUUAUUCUGUGUUUUACUCAUUUCUAAGGGGCACAAAGAGGUUAAGGUGAAUUGGUUGCCUUGUCCAUCAUGUAAGAAGACUUGGCCACCCACUUGGGAGCCUGAGGGUAAUGUCCAGAUGACCCUAACUGUCUGUUAAUGUGGCAUGGAUGACUGAAGUUCCAGAUGUUACCUUUCUCGUAAUAAACUUGGUUUCAUGGUUAAGA
Hypomesus transpacificus is the source of this 1390-nucleotide long non-coding RNA. RefSeq lists it as uncharacterized. The record is from RefSeq and is a predicted model, not a curated record. Lineage: Eukaryota; Metazoa; Chordata; Actinopteri; Osmeriformes; Osmeridae. The transcript has 4 exons.